CCCGCACAAGCGGUGGAGUAUGUGGUUUAAUUCGAUGCAACGCGAAGAACCUUACCUGGUCUUGACAUCCCGGAGACCCUUAGGAAACUAGGGGGUGCUUCCAUCUGGAAGAAUCUGGAGACAGGUGCUGCAUGGCUGUCGUCAGCUCGUGUCGUGAGAUGUUGGGUUAAGUCCCGCAACGAGCGCAACCCUUGCCUUUAGUUGCCAGCAGUUCGGCUGGGCACUCUAAAGGGACUGCCGGUGUUAAACCGGAGGAAGGUGGGGAUGGCGUCAAGUCCUCAUGGCCUUUAUGACCAGGGCUACACACGUACUACAAUGGCCGAUACAAAGGGCAGCGACACUGCGAGGUGAAGCCAAUCCCGUAAAAUCGGUCUCAGUCCGGAUUGGAGUCUGCAACUCGACUCCAUGAAGUUGGAAUCGCUAGUAAUCGUGGAUCAGCAUGCCACGGUGAAUACGUUCCCGGGCCUU
Molecule: ribosomal RNA, 468 nt
Filed under: uncultured Desulfobulbus sp.
Lineage: Bacteria; Pseudomonadati; Thermodesulfobacteriota; Desulfobulbia; Desulfobulbales; Desulfobulbaceae
Description: bacterial SSU rRNA
Rfam family: Bacterial small subunit ribosomal RNA
Source: RNAcentral